This is an RNA transcript of Diospyros lotus (date-plum), 1987 nucleotides long. It is a transcript of the gene named transcription factor bHLH137-like, with no coding region annotated. NCBI's taxonomy places the organism in Eukaryota, Viridiplantae, Streptophyta, Magnoliopsida, Ericales, Ebenaceae. The transcript has 8 exons. The record is from RefSeq and is a predicted model, not a curated record.
GAGAGAUUGAUUGAUAAGACCAGACGUAUGCGAGGGUUCCUACACGGUUCUCUCUCUCUCUCUCCCCCAUGUCUAUAUAAACCUUUCAUUCUCUCUCAAGGUUGCCUCAGCUCCUCAGAAUUCAACUUUUUCAAUUUCGUUCAGACUGUGUUAGCUGUUAAUCACUCUGUAUCAAGUUCAUCUUCAACCAACCAACCACCCUUCUGCUUUCGUUCUUCCAUCGCUUUCUGCUUUCCUUCCUUCGGCCUCUCCAAAUCCCAAAGCUUAACACAAGCAAUGGAAGCAGCUUUUCCUUGCCAGAAUAUCGAGGACAGUCUUCUCGUCGCCCAACAAGUUCUUGACAUUUUGGACGAACCCGACUGCUUUCCUCGACUCUACCCACCUCAAUGUCAAUCUCCUGACCAGAAACCUGCAAAGGUUGCUGUUGGUAGGAGCAACAAGGAGACCUCCUGUGUGACCUAUAGACACAGCACGGAUUCUUCUUCCGUCGUUGAUAACAGGCCUGAAAGCGGCGAACAGGUUACUCAGAAGGUGGUUCCCAUGGCGAAGAGGAGGAAAACCAGAGACGGCUCUUCCGUUACUUCUCUUCAAUCUGCGGACGCUGUGGAAGCGAAGGGCAAGAGGCUGAAGAAAGGCAAUGAUGUGAUCAAAGACGAGAACGAGAAGAAGGGUAGAGCUGGGAAUAGAAAGAAGGAAGAAAAGAAGCUUCCUGAAGAACCCCCAACAGGCUACAUUCAUGUAAGAGCCAGGAGGGGCCAAGCAACAGACAGCCAUAGCCUUGCAGAGAGGGUGAGAAGGGAGAAAAUAAGUGAAAGGAUGAAGCUGUUGCAAUCUCUGGUUCCAGGCUGUGACAAGGUUACUGGCAAGGCCCACAUGUUGGAUGAGAUAAUCAACUAUGUCCAAUCCCUUCAAAAUCAAGUGGAGUUUCUGUCUAUGAAGCUUGCUUCUGUGAAUCCCAUGUCCUAUGACUUUGGAGUGGACUUAGAGGCCUCCAUGGUGACACCUGAGAGAUUGGAUAGCUUGGUAUCACCACAAUGCAACCCUGCCCAGCCCACUGCUUUUUCUGGAGCAGCAGCCACCUUCACCAACUCGCCAUGUAUCUAUCCUCCUCUGGACAGCACAUUCUCACUUCUGCUUGAUCAACAAAUGCACAGGCCAGGGCUGCUCCCUCAGGGAAAUGGACAGCUCUUGUGGGAUGCGGAUGAUGACCAGAGACAAAAACGUAUCAAUCAAUCUGGUUUCAACAGCAAUUGCUUGUGUUCUUUUCCUUUGGUGUAAUUCCAGAUUACAGCUGCCACACAACCAUUUGGUAAGCCCUAAAAUUGCCAUCUCAUUUAAUAUACCCAAUCAUACCAAUAAUAAUAAUUUUUACCUUCCUUGUUUUCUGUAUUUCCAUUUCCGCCCAUCUAGUUUGGGAGUUCCUCAGUCAUACCCUAAGGAAAACUGGCAGCAACAAAAGUAGAGAGAAUAGAGGGUCAGAAAGGGGGCAUGAAAUUAGUGUCAAAGGUUAAUUAUUCCUUAGUAUCAACAACAAAAAAAGGUGGAGGAUUUAGUACCUCAAACUCAAAGCCCUGAUUCUAAGUGCAGUGCAGUGCAGUGGAUGGGGAGCAAUUAAAGCAAUGGCUUAACAUCAGAGAGAGGACAGAGCACACUUGACAACAUCUUUUGCAGUUGCAGAUGCAGAUCCCUGUGUUGCCGUCCUAUUUGACUCCACAACCCUCUCACUCAUUGCAGGCACAUAUUCCUAUAGCUAUAUAUAUAUAUAUUUGUAAAAUUAAUGUGUAAGUAAAGACUUGUAAUUUCUAAUGUCCCUUUCAUUCUUUUCAUUUACAUUACCAGGAGGAAUCUCUUGUUGGUUUUACAGGUGGGUUUUCCUUUUCUGUGUGGCUCUGCAUCACUGUACCAGUAAUUGUUUCGACCCUUCACGACAAUGAACUGAAUGUUGAUAUGUUAUCCAUGUAAUUUUGAAUUAUUUUUAUUUAUAAUA